GAUGAACGCUAGCGGCAGGCUUAACACAUGCAAGUCGAGGGGCAGCACGGGUAGCAAUACUUGGUGGCGACCGGCGCAAGGGUGCGUAACGCGUGAGCAACAUGCCCGUAUCAGGGGGAUAAUCCAGGGAAACUUGGUCUAAUACCCCAUAGCAAUUAUUUAAGGCAUCUUAAAUAAUUUAAAGCUUUGGUGGAUACGGAUUGGCUCGCGUGACAUUAGCUAGAUGGUAAGGUAACGGCUUACCAUGGCUACGAUGUCUAGGGGUUCUGAGAGGAAGAUCCCCCACACUGGAACUGAGACACGGUCCAGACUCCUACGGGAGGCAGCAGUGAGGAAUAUUGGACAAUGGAUGGAAAUCUGAUCCAGCCAUGCCGCGUGCAGGAAGACGGCCCUAUGGGUUGUAAACUGCUUUUGUAUGGGAGCAAUAAGGUCUAUGCGUAGACUGAUGAGAGUACCAUACGAAUAAGCAUCGGCUAACUCCGUG
Molecule: ribosomal RNA, 484 nt
Filed under: uncultured bacterium
Lineage: Bacteria
Description: bacterial SSU rRNA
Rfam family: Bacterial small subunit ribosomal RNA
Source: RNAcentral